UGGGGAAUAUUGCACAAUGGACGGAAGUCUGAUGCAGCAACGCCGCGUGCGGGAUGACGGCCUUCGGGUUGUAAACCGCUUUUUCUCAUGACGAAGUUUUUUGACGAUAGUGGGGGAAGAAGCACCGGCUAACUACGUGCCAGCAGCCGCGGUGAUACGUAGGGUGCGAGCGUUGUCCGGAAUUAUUGGGCGUAAAGAGCUUGUAGGCGGUUUGUCGCGUCGAUAGUGCAAACUCAGUGCUUAACGCUGAGCCUGCUGUUGAUACGGGCAGACUAGAGGAAGGUAGGGGAGAAUGGAAUUCCCGGUGGGGCGGUGGAAUGCGCAGAUAUCGGGAGGAACACCGGUGGCGAAGGCGGUUCUCUGGGCCUUUCCUGACGCUGAGAAGCGAAAGCGUGGGGAGCGAACAGG
RNAcentral lists this ribosomal RNA (408 nucleotides) under Fusobacteriota bacterium. RNAcentral's name for it is "Fusobacteria bacterium partial 16S ribosomal RNA". It matches the Rfam family "Bacterial small subunit ribosomal RNA", at positions 355 to 776 of the family's 1533-position model. Lineage: Bacteria; Fusobacteriati; Fusobacteriota. The record is from RNAcentral.